Molecule: ribosomal RNA, 465 nt
Filed under: uncultured bacterium
Lineage: Bacteria
Description: bacterial SSU rRNA
Rfam family: Bacterial small subunit ribosomal RNA
Source: RNAcentral
GACGAACGCUGGCGGCGUGCCUAACACAUGCAAGUCGAACGGGGAUAUGAUUUCGGUUGUAUCCUAGUGGCGAACGGGUGAGUAACGCGUGAGCAACCUGUCCUUUUGAGGGGGAUAACAUUUGGAAACAGAUGCUAAUACCGCAUAAGACCACGGGUCCGCAUGGACCAGAGGUCAAAGGAGCAAUCCGCAGAAGGAGGGGCUCGCGUCCCAUUAGGUAGAUGGCGGGGUAACGGCCCACCAUGCCAUCGAUGGGUAGCCGAGCUGAGAGGCUGAUCGGCCACACUGGAACUGAGACACGGUCCAGACUCCUACGGGAGGCAGCAGUGGGGAAUAUUGGGCAAUGGGCGAAAGCCUGACCCAGCAACGCCGCGUGAGGGAAGAAGGCCUUCGGGUUGUAAACCUCUGUCCUUGGUGACGAAAAAAAUGACGGUAGCCAAGGAGGAAGCCCCGGCUAACUACGUG